This 57-nucleotide transfer RNA is filed under the name Platynereis dumerilii (Dumeril's clam worm). Its description in RNAcentral is "tRNA-Ser". The record is from RNAcentral. Lineage: Eukaryota; Metazoa; Annelida; Polychaeta; Phyllodocida; Nereididae.
GCAACAUACCAAGUGAUUUUGAAAGUCAUAACAGGUAGUUAAUCUUACCAUGUUGUU